GAUGAAGAACGCAGCGAAAUGCGAUAAGUAAUGCGAAUUGCAGAAUUCCAGUGAGUCAUCGAAUCUUUGAACGCACAUUGCGCCCUUUGGUAUUCCGAAGGGCAUGCCUGUUCGAGCGUCAUUAUCACCCCUCAAGCCCUCGGCUUGGUGUUGGACGGUUUGGUGGAGGCCCCCUCGGGGGCUCCUGCCCCUCCCAAAGACAAUGACGGUGGCCUCGUUGGACCCCCGGUACACUGAGUUCUUCACGGGACACGUAUCGGACACAUGGGUUUACGGGACACGGUCUGCCUCCCCUCAGGGAGAAUCUUUCUAAGGUUGACCUCGGAUCAGGUAGGGAUACCCGCUGAACUUAAGCAUAUCAAUAAGCGGAGG
This 372-nucleotide unclassified non-coding RNA is filed under the name soil metagenome. Its description in RNAcentral is "partial contains 5.8S ribosomal RNA, internal transcribed spacer 2, and large subunit ribosomal RNA". The stretch from base 1 to 121 matches the Rfam family "5.8S ribosomal RNA", at positions 35 to 154 of the family's 154-position model. The record is from RNAcentral.